GAACGCUGGCGGCGUGCCUAAUACAUGCAAGUCGAGCGAACGGACGAGAAGCUUGCUUUUCUGAUGUUAGCGGCGGACGGGUGAGUAACACGUGGAUAACCUACCUAUAAGACUGGGAUAACUUCGGGAAACCGGAGCUAAUACCGGAUAAUAUUUUGAACCGCAUGGUUCAACAGUGAAAGACGGUCUUGCUGUCACUUAUAGAUGGAUCCGCGCUGCAUUAGCUAGUUGGUAAGGUAACGGCUUACCAAGGCAACGAUGCAUAGCCGACCUGAGAGGGUGAUCGGCCACACUGGAACUGAGACACGGUCCAGACUCCUACGGGAGGCAGCAGUAGGGAAUCUUCCGCAAUGGGCGAAAGCCUGACGGAGCAACGCCGCGUGAGUGAUGAAGGUCUUCGGAUCGUAAAACUCUGUUAUUAGGGAAGAACAUAUGUGUAAGUAACUGUGCACAUCUUGACGGUACCUAAUCAGAAAGCCACGGCUAACUACGUG
This 494-nucleotide ribosomal RNA is filed under the name uncultured bacterium. Its description in RNAcentral is "partial 16S ribosomal RNA". It matches the Rfam family "Bacterial small subunit ribosomal RNA", at positions 31 to 507 of the family's 1533-position model. The record is from RNAcentral.